AAGGAAAAGAAGAGAGAGAGAGAAAGAAGAUCAGGGAAGAGAGAGAGAGAGAGAGAGAAAAGGGGAAGGCGGUGGCGUGCGUCGUCGGUGGCGGCUUCGGAAGUGCGCGGGCUGGCCGUCGGAGCAGCAGGCGGCGGGCGCGAGCGUGCGGCGGAGAACGGCAGCGUCUGGCAGCGGGAAUCGCGCGUAGGAGCAGCGGCUUCCGGAGGCCGUUUCGGCGGUGUUGGCGGCCGAGUCGGGUGGCGAUCGGCUCCUCUCGGCAAGGGCUCUCUUCUGGCAGCAGUGGCGACGCCUGGGGUGGCCGGAGUUGCAAGAUCCGGCAAAGUGAAAUUUAGAGUGGCAGCCGGCGUUUUUCAGCUUUUCCGGCGAGCUCCGGCGGAGGAUGGACGAUCGGAGGACGUAUCCCGACUCUCCUCAGCUCAAGCUUCGCAUUGGCACCGGUUUCGUGGCGAUCGGGCUUCGUUUGUGAAUCGACGGCCGAGAUCGUCUGUAAAUCUUUUCGGAUGAUUGGGUGUCAGGUCGGAAAAUCGAAAGUGGGGAUCGUCGUCAGCGCGUCGUUUCGAGUCCAAUGGUGAGUUCGGAUCGUCAAUCGGACUCCGGCAGCUGGAGGCGAUCGACCGAGCGAUCGAGCAUCUCAAUGAUCUGUCUGUUUGGCUCGCUCCAACUGAGGGACCGGAGCAGAGCUAGGAGGUCGCCCAAAACCUUAGAACAUGCCACCUGGUGGGUUGCAUCAGGACCGCGUGCGUACCGGUAAUGAUCAAAGAUAGGUAAUAAGGUUAUUAUGGAUUUGUUUGCCCUGAUCGAGCAUUGCUCUCUAGGCUGAGUUCAGUUGAUUGCCGGAGUUAAGGUCCUUGAUCGAGCAACGCUCUCUGGGCGUCGGCUUAUUUGGAAUUCAA
Ricinus communis (castor bean) is the source of this 896-nucleotide long non-coding RNA. RefSeq lists it as uncharacterized. The record is from RefSeq and is a predicted model, not a curated record. NCBI's taxonomy places the organism in Eukaryota, Viridiplantae, Streptophyta, Magnoliopsida, Malpighiales, Euphorbiaceae. The transcript has 3 exons.